This 112-nucleotide Y RNA is filed under the name Zalophus californianus (California sea lion). RNAcentral's name for it is "Y RNA (ENSZCAG00015020156.1)". It matches the Rfam family "Y RNA". From Rfam's summary of the family: Y RNAs are components of the Ro ribonucleoprotein particle (Ro RNP), in association with Ro60 and La proteins. The Y RNAs and Ro60 and La proteins are well conserved, but the function of the Ro RNP is not known. The record is from RNAcentral. Lineage: Eukaryota; Metazoa; Chordata; Mammalia; Carnivora; Otariidae.
GGCUGGUCUGAAGGUAGUGAGUUAUCUCAGUUGAUUGUUCGCAGUCGGUUACAGAUUGAAGUCAUUGUUCUACUCUUUCCCUCUUCUCACUACUGCACUUGACUAGUUUUUA